This 389-nucleotide ribosomal RNA is filed under the name uncultured bacterium. RNAcentral's name for it is "bacterial SSU rRNA". It matches the Rfam family "Bacterial small subunit ribosomal RNA", at positions 28 to 417 of the family's 1533-position model. The record is from RNAcentral.
GACGAACGCUGGCGGCGUGCUUAACACAUGCAAGUCGAGCGGUAAGGCCCUUUCGGGGGUACGACGAGCGGCGAACGGGUGAGUAACACGUGGGUGACCUGCCCUUAGCUCUGGGAUAAGCCUGGGAAACUGGGUCUAACACCGGAUAUGACUCCAUAACGCAUGUUGUGGGGUGGAAAGCCUUGUGCGGCUAGGGAGUGGGCCCGCGGCCUAUCAGCUUGUUGGUGGGGUGAUGGCCUACCAAGGCGACGACGGGUAGCCGGCCUGAGAGGGCGACCGGCCACACUGGGACUGAGACACGGCCCAGACUCCUACGGGAGGCAGCAGUGGGGAAUCUUGCGCAAUGGGCGAAAGCCUGACGCAGCGACGCCGCGUGGGGAUGACGGCCU